UUGAACGCUGGCGGCAGGCCUAACACAUGCACGUCGCACGGUAACAGGAAGAAGCUUGCUUCUUUGCUGACGAGUGGCGGACGGGUGAGUAAUGUCUGGGAAACUGCCUGAUGGAGGGGGAUAACUACUGGAAACGGUAGCUAAUACCGCAUAACGUCGCAAGACCAAAGAGGGGGACCUUCGGGCCUCUUGCCAUCGGAUGUGCCCAGAUGGGAUUAGCUAGUAGGUGGGGUAACGGCUCACCUAGGCGACGAUCCCUAGCUGGUCUGAGAGGAUAACCAGCCACACUGGAACUGAGACACGGUCCAGACUCCUACGGGAGGCAGCAGUGGGGAAUAUUGCACAAUGGGCGCAAGCCUGAUGCAGCCAUGCCGCGUGUAUGAAGAAGGCCUUCGGGUUGUAAAGUACUUUCAGCGGGGAGGAAGGGAGUAAAGUUAAUACCUUUGCUCAUUGACGUUACCCGCAGAAGAAGCACCGGCUAACUCCGUG
This 489-nucleotide ribosomal RNA is filed under the name uncultured bacterium. RNAcentral describes it as "partial 16S ribosomal RNA". It matches the Rfam family "Bacterial small subunit ribosomal RNA", at positions 30 to 507 of the family's 1533-position model. The record is from RNAcentral.